UGUCCACGCGGGCGCCGGGGGCCCUGGAAGCCCGGGGAGCGCAGUCCGUGGAGCGGGGAGAUGGCACCAAAGGGUGUGUCGGCUCAGUAGGUACUUCAAAAGCGAGCUACUCAUGUUGUGGAGGACAUCCGGACCCCCUUCAGAGGACAGCUUGUAGGGUGAACACGUGACGAUCAGUUACCAAUUAGUGACGAGCAGUUGACCAAGCAGACAACCAAGUGGACCACGUGUGAUCAGGACAAGCCCCCGCAGACUCGGAGAAAACCCUUCUCUGGGGAUGUGAGGCGAGAGCCUGACGGAUCCAGAGCCGGCUGCACCUCUGGGGCUGAAGGAAGUCUGGGCGGCUGCCAAGCCGAUUCACCCAGCAGCUGGAGAAAACACCUGCCUGCAGCUCAGACGGAGCCUCCCUCCGCAUCACCUGAGCUGUCCCUUGUUCCCCUGCCAGGUCUUCCGUGGCUCCCCUAGUGACUGCUCUUGUUAGGAGUUACCCAUUGCUCUUGCCGUCUAGAGCGGGAACAUGAGAUGAAAGAAAACCCUGGGUCCUGCUGAGACCUGAGUCCACCCUCUUCCCCUCAGACCUGAGCUCCUGUCUCCAACCCUGGUCAGCAACAGCUGCCAUCACAAAAUCAGCUUUCUAAUCUUUCCUCAUGGUCUCCAGGCCUCAAGUAAGAUGCUUGCCUGGACUGAAGCCCAUUUCCACCUGAGGGCACGAGUGUCUACCUCUUUGCUUAAGAAGGGGUAAACAGGUGUCACCGCUGCUUCAGUGGAAAGGUGGAGUAACGAUGCUCUAGUGACCCGAAGCUAUUUUUCAGAACCAUGGACAGCGCCAGAGGGCCCCUCCCGCCCCAACAGUGUCUUCACAAACAAGCGCUUGCUUUCUGAUUGAACUUGCUCUGUCUCAAAUGCCCUGAGCCUUCCAAGCAGCCAAGGUCAAGACAAUGUCAAUGCACAUAACCUCUCAUCACUCAGAUCCUGACAACUUCAGUGCAUGCUGCUGUGGUCACGAGAGUGGGGAGCAGCAGAUCGCGCAGGAAAAGAUCAAAAUGCAAAGCACAGUUUCUACUGUAGGUGCCUCGCUGUCGAGCCCAGAGCAAAGUGGGAAAUGGAAGUGGAACCACGGCAAGCAGGACGGCCUGCAUCUCCUCCCCUCUCCCUGCCGCGUGGGUGGUAGAUCCGCCCCCAUCCUGUUAGCUUGGACUUGGGCGUGGGACAGACUUCAGCUAAUGGGGUUCUUGGGAUCUUCCUGGGGAAAAGGCAGGGGUGUGCUCUGUGUGUGUGUGGGGGGACUGGUCCCCCUGCCCCCGCCUUAGCGGAAGAACAGUGCCAGAAGACGAGACCUGGAGCCAGCUGAGACCCAAGCUGUCCCUGGAGGCCAGUUCCGACCUGUCCCACUUGACACACAAAAGCACAAGCAAGGUGACUUGACCUGCCCACAGGUAAAUAAGUCGGGGCAUAGCCAUACAAGAGCAUCCAACUCGGCACUAAAAAGGGAGAAACUACAGCAAACACACCAUGUGGAUGGAUCUUAAAAUAAUUAGGCUCAAUGGACAGAAACCAAGCAAAAAGUUCCAUCAGGUGUACAUUGGCACAAAGUAGAUCGGGAGUUGCCUAGGACGUGGGAGAGGUGAGGGCAGCCAGGGAGAGGGAGUCCCAAGGGACUUCUUGAAAGGUUGGGCGCGGUAAAGGGAAGGCGAGCCAGGCUAAGCUUUCUCAAAGGAAGGGAAAAUUUAUUGCGCCCCGGGUGGACUUCACAGACCCAAGGUGGGGAUCCGUGAAGCCGCGCACAUUGUCGGGGGGAGGCAGGCUUUUAUAGGGUGA
This is a long non-coding RNA of Talpa occidentalis (Iberian mole), 1818 nucleotides long. RefSeq lists it as uncharacterized. NCBI's taxonomy places the organism in Eukaryota, Metazoa, Chordata, Mammalia, Eulipotyphla, Talpidae. The record is from RefSeq and is a predicted model, not a curated record. The transcript has 3 exons.